UCCUGUAAUAACCAUCCCCAAAUCUCUCUUUUCGCCACUCUCUCACAUUUGAAAAAGCAUAGAAACAAAAGCUACGGAGAGAGAGAGAGAGAGAGAGAGAGAGAGAGAGAGGAUACGGUAAUGGAGAAAAGCUGUCCUUCCACUGCUGCUGCUCCUGAUUCUACCACAACGAGCAGCAUCAACAGGCAUCCAGCAGAUCAUUUCCUCAAACAACUCAAUAAAAGCUCUCACAAGAUCUCCAAGCACCCACAUCAGUCCCACAACCACCACCAUCUUAGCCAUCCAAAACAGACGUCCCACACAUCUCAGUCGUCUCACCACAACAACAACCCUCAGCAGCACCAACAGCAAAACCAACAGCAACAACAACAGCAGCAGCAACAGCAGCAGCAGCAGCCUCCCGUUUACAACAUAAACAAGAACGAAUUCCGAGACGUAGUCCAAAGGCUAACAGGUUCUCCUGCCCACGAUCGCUUCUCUACGCCUCCCCCAAUCCAUCCCCCCAAGCCUCCUAGCUCUCGCCUCCAGCGGAUUCGGCCUCCCCCCCUCGCGCAAAUUAGCUCCAGGCCUCCACCGUGCGCCCCUCCCACUCUAUUUACCGACAACAAUCUCAACAGCAAUAGCAGCAGCAGCAGCAACAACAACAACAGUGGAAUCUUCAUUGGACGGCCGAGAUCGCCCUUCUCUCCUCUCCCGCCGUUCCCUACCAUCAGCGCCGCCGCCGAGUCCCCGAUCUCUGCCUACAUGAGAUACCUCCAGGGCUCGAUCUCGUCCAUCGAUCCCGGGCGGGCCCCAGGGUUCUCGCCGCGGUGGAACCCUAACAUCAACUCUUCUUUCCAGCAGGCACUGCACCCUUCGCCGACGGCGAAUCCUCCGCCUGCGCAGCUUCCGCCGCCGCAGUUUCUGCUCCCAACUUCGCCUAUGGCCUUCGGCCACAUCCCGCUGUCACCACGGUCACCAUACCCCUUGCUCUCGCCGAGCCUGCUGUUCUCGCCAUCGGCGCAGUUAGGGUUUCUGCCAGCGUCGCCGAGAUUGCCAGUCCCGAGCCCGAGGUGGAGAGAUCUGUGAGCCGUUAUGGUUGAAUUCUGUAGUUUUUUGCAAUGAAGGUUUCAAGAUUGAAGAAAAUUUUGUUUCUGUAUACCAAUUCGUUAAGGGCUUUGUAGACACCUUUGAGUUCUCCUCUGAAGGUUUGACCAUAGAGGCCAACAAAUAGGCAAAUAGCUAGGAGAAACAGCAUGAACUCUUUGAAAUCCAGGAAGGCGGAUUUCUUCUCCAAGUACCAAACUACUGGUGGCAAUUCAUACUAUGGGUCUCUGUCUUCGAAUAAUUAUAGUCUCUGAAAAAAAAAAACACAGGAUUCCACACAUGGGAUGGGACCAUGUUUUGGUGAUCCAGGCUGUCGAUCUGAUGGGACCUUUUGUGGAAGGGAGUUGCCUUGAAACUCGCCUAGGUGCCUAGGUUAGAUUAUCAUAUCCUUUGAUCAUUGGACUGUUCCUUGAAUGUGAACCGUUGCUGGAUUUUCACAUUAACUGUGUAUUGUUAGGCAAUUGAUUGAAAGCAUAGCAUUUUAAUCUGGAAGAUUCUUUAGGCAUUUACCUUCCUGGUGGGGCACAUCAGAUGAAUGGUUUAGAUCACUGAACCAACGCUAAACAUGCAAGGAAUCCUUUGUGUCAGCAUGCUGCAUGUUCACUGAUAACUGGGACCCCGCGUUGCAUUCAUCCAGGUCUUGAGAGAUUGAACAGAUUGAAUAAUACAUCACUUUCUUCAAAUGAAAAUUACCCUUUGUCAUGGUCAAACCUGGUAACACGAGUAUGUUUGAAUCGUGGUCAUCAGCUAUACAGUUAUGAAGAACAUUGUUUGGCUGCUGCUUGAGAUUGAUGAUGCAUGAACAUCUAUGGAAUUACUAGUAUAGUACUGCCUUAUUGACAUGAGCUACCACGUGAUUGCAAUGGAGAUAUGCGGUGGGCCAUGCUACUGCUGGCACCUGACAUUUAUGACUUCACUCAAUUUAAAAACACAUCAGGUAUCUUUAUCCUUUUAUUUGUUCCCAAACGCUUGGACAUGAGACUGUAUCCCUGUUUUGGGUUGCAAUCAACUCCACCUAUAGAACUGGAGACGAUAGUAAUCUACCAAGAAAUUACAUUUUUUAGAUAUUUGUUUCAUGGUUCAUGCCACCCACCGGUAAACUAAAAAGACAUGUAAAUGUAAUCGUUUUAUCUAUCUUGACUGCAGAUUAUUUGUUUCUUUCAAGGGGAUGUGGUUGCUCAUAAUAUCAUUGUUGCUUCCAUGAGUUGACAUACAGUUCUAGCACUGGCACUUACGUCCCACUCAAAGCAUUUGUUGGGAAAGAGCGGUGCAGUGGUUUGGGGGCAUUCAUUUGAUCAGGUUUGGUGGAAAGAGAGAUGUUCUCCAUAUACAUCGCAAUGUUGUAAAUCCGUCUUGAUUUGGGAAUUCUUAAAUUAUACUUUAGUGAUAGAAAAACCGUGAAGAUUCAAAAUCCAAACUAUCCAGUUACCAAUACAAACACCAUUAGAUCAGAAUGUCUGCCUGAUUCAUUUGUCAUUGUGUUCAUCUUUUCUGUUAAAAAUGUGUCCGACACUUUACCAUUAUACAUUUAUUUGCUUUGAUGUGGCUACUUUAUUAUAUGUAAUUCAUGUUCAAGUAAUUCGCAGAUUGGUAGUAUC
This is an RNA transcript of Magnolia sinica, 2684 nucleotides long. It is a transcript of the gene named VQ motif-containing protein 9, with no coding region annotated. The transcript has 3 exons. The record is from RefSeq and is a predicted model, not a curated record. Lineage: Eukaryota; Viridiplantae; Streptophyta; Magnoliopsida; Magnoliales; Magnoliaceae.